GGCUACAAACACAUCUCCCUUUCGAACACACCCCUCUGAAAAGAGACCCUGAGAGCCUGCAGAGGAGGAUCAGACAAGCUGUCCUGGUUGAAUGCUAUUGUCAUCAGAGUGAAGGAGGCUAGUUUCAAUGGCUGCAGCGCCAUGUUCAACAUCUGUUUGCUUGGGAGCAAAAUGAUUAUCUUCGGAGAGCAGCAAAGUUCAACUGCAAGUUUUGUAUGAUAUUUACAAAAUAUCCCUUGCUCUAUGAAGAUACUGACUGAGAUGACAGUGGAGCUACAGGAUAAGUCCUCGAGAGCAGCAGCUUCAGAGAACCAGGUGUACCAACAGAUUGCCCACUGCCCUGCAAUUCAGAAUUGGCCCAUGUCCACCUUCUCAGGACGGUUAUCUUGGAGAAGGGAUUUGAUGUUGGUGUUGAAGAAAACUCAUCGACGGCUUGGCAAGAAAUAAGAGAUGAAGAGUUCUGGAAGUCUGUAUAGAAAAGCUCAUAGAAGAGAACAGACAAGAGAAAUAAUUGUGUCCGGCACCUCUGCCCACCCCCCAAGCCAUGCUGAGAGAAGCAGAAAUGAGAACCGGCAC
This is a long non-coding RNA of Balaenoptera acutorostrata (minke whale), 576 nucleotides long. RefSeq lists it as uncharacterized. The transcript is spliced from 4 exons. The record is from RefSeq and is a predicted model, not a curated record. NCBI's taxonomy places the organism in Eukaryota, Metazoa, Chordata, Mammalia, Artiodactyla, Balaenopteridae.